This 819-nucleotide ribosomal RNA is filed under the name uncultured bacterium. RNAcentral's name for it is "bacterial SSU rRNA". It matches the Rfam family "Bacterial small subunit ribosomal RNA", at positions 68 to 920 of the family's 1533-position model. The record is from RNAcentral.
AGAAAGCGGGAGCAAUCUCGCAAGUAAAGUGGCGUACGGGUGAGUAACACGUGGGUAAUCUACCUUCUGGUGGGGAAUAACCUUGGGAAACCGGGGAUAAUACCGCAUAAGCUCGAGAGAGGAAAGCAGCAAUGCGCCGGAAGAGGAGCCCGCGGCCGAUUAGCUAGUUGGCAGGGUAAAAGCCUACCAAGGCUGAGAUCGGUAGCCGGCCUGAGAGGGCACACGGCCACACUGGCACUGAAACACGGGCCAGACUCCUACGGGAGGCAGCAGUGGGGAAUCUUGCACAAUGGGGGAAACCCUGAUGCAGCGACGCCGCGUGAGCGAUGAAGCCCUUCGGGGUGUAAAGCUCUUUCGGCAGGGACGAUAAUGACGGUACCUGCAGAAGCAGCUGCGGCUAACUACGUGCCAGCAGCCGCGGUAAUACGUAGGCAGCAAGCGUUGUUCGGAGUUACUGGGCGUAAAGGGUGCGUAGGCGGUCCUUUAAGUUUGGUGUGAAAUCUCCCGGCUUAACUGGGAGGGUGCGCCGGAUACUGAGGGACUAGAGUGCGGGAGGGGAGAGUAGAAUUCCUGGUGUAGCGGUGAAAUGCGUAGAUAUCAGGAGGAAUACCGGUGGUGUAAACGGCUCUCUGGACCGUAACUGACGCUGAGGCACGAAAGCGUGGGUAGCAAACAGGAUUAGAUACCUGGUAGUCCACGCCCUAAACGAUGCAUGCUUGGUGCGGGUGAUUCAGUUCAUCUGUGCCGGAGCUAACGCGUUAAGCAUGCCGCCUGGGGAGUACAGUCGCAAGGCUGAAACUCAAAGGAAUUGACGGGGGC